This 2288-nucleotide long non-coding RNA is filed under the name Sus scrofa (pig). Its description in RNAcentral is "lncRNA (ENSSSCG00055030726.1)". Lineage: Eukaryota; Metazoa; Chordata; Mammalia; Artiodactyla; Suidae. The record is from RNAcentral.
UUUUUUUUUUUUUUUUUUUUGACUUUUUGCCAUCUCUUGGGCUGCUUCCACUGCAUAUGGAGGUUCCCAGGAUAGGGGUCCUAUCAGAGCUGCAGCCACCAGCCUACGCCAGAGCCACAGCAACUCGGAAUCCGAGCUGCGUCUGUGACCUACACCACAGCUGACGGCAACGCUGGAUCGUUAACCCACUGAGCAAAAGCAGGGAUCAAACCCGCAACGUCAUGGUUCCUAGUCGGAUUCGUUAACCACUGGCCACAACAGGAACUCUGCUUCCUUUUCUUUUUGCUCAAUUUUUCCACUUCUCCCCUCAAACCCUCUCUUCUCUCGCAGGUGACUCAACGCAGGGAGAAGAAACCAGGCUGGGCGGCCACACCUGUUGGACAUCUUCCUCCCCCUCUAUCCAAGGUCCUGGCUGACAAUCUAGAUGUCCCUACAUUUCCUGAGGGACCUUGUCACCAAGUUUCUUUGGGGGGGAGUGAGGGGAAGUGGGGGAUGCUAGUUUGCCUUCUACCAAUAAUUAGGAACUUCUUCCUCUUUGAUUUCAUUAGAAGGCAAUUCCAGUAUAAACAGCCCUUUAUUGACCUUUACCAUUUAUUCAAUCCCAGGCCAUCCUUUCCCUGAGAUUUAAAAGGAAAAGCCUUGCAAGAGCCCCUCAGGCCCCCGCCUUCACUGAUGGUGGGAAGGGAACUUGGUGCUGCCACGGCAGAAACCAGUGUGGGGGUUCCUUGAAAAACUCAAAGUAGGCGUUUCCACGGUGACUCAGCAGAAACAACAUGGGAUGGAGUCCAUGAGGACCCACCUUGGAUCCCUGGGCUCACUCAGUGGGUGAAGGAUCCGGGGUUGCCAUGAGCUGUAGUGUAGGUUGCAGAUGGGACUCCGAUCUGACAUUACUGGGGCUGUGGCACAUAACAGCAGCUGCAGCUAGAAUUUGACCCCUAGCCUGGGAGCUUCUAUAGCCUGCAGGUAUGGCCCUAAGGAAAGAAAAAAAACCCAACCACCACCACCACACUCAACAGAACUGCAACUAGAACUACCACAUGAUCCACCAAUCCCACCUCCUGGACAUCUAUCCGGAGAAAACUAACUGCAAAAGAUACCUGUGCCCCUAUGUUCACAGCAGCACUACUCACAAUAGACAAGACAUGGAAACAGCCUAAGUGCCCAUCGACAGAGCAUGAGUAAAAAAAGAUGUGCUCCAUACCCACAUGGAAUAUUACUCAACCCCAUAAAAAGAACAAAAUGAUGCCAUUUUCAGUGACAUGGAUGGACAUACUGGCGAUCAUACUAAGAGAUGUAGGUCAGAAAGGAGAGAAACACCAGCUGAGUUCACUGCUAUGUGGAAACUCGUAUGACACCAAUGAACUUCUUUGGAAAAGAGAAAUAGACUCAUAGAAAAUGUAUGGUUACCAAAGGGGAAUGGCUGGGGAGAGGGAUGUAUGAGUUGUUUCGGGUCAACAUGGUACACACUAGUACAGAUAAACUCAGUAAGCAUCAAGGCUCUCCUGUACAGCCUAAAAAACUAUAUUCAAUAUCCUGUAAUAUCCCAUACGAGGCAAGAAUAUCAAGAUGAUACAUGUAUAACUCAUACCCUUUGCCAUACACCUGAAAAAUAACCUUGUAAAUCCACUAUACUCCUACAUAAUAUAAAAGUUUUUUUAAGAAAAGGAUAGAGGAGUUCCCACUGUGGGGCACAGGAUUGGCAGUGUCUCUGGAGCCCUGGGACGUGGGUUUGACACCCAGCCGGCACAGUGGGUUAAGGAUCCAGCAUUGUAAUAUAGGUUUCCACUGUGGCUCAGAUCUGAUCCCUGGCCCAGGAACUCCAUAAGCCUCGGGCACCAAAAUACAAUUUGACAAAUUCAAAGAAUUCUAAAAUUUAAAAAAAUAGGCUUUUUAAUUCACAAAAUUACAAUUUAAAAGUCAUUUUACCAAGCAGACAGCUUCUGAACUUGAACUAGACCUUCUUCACUGCUAUCCUUACAGCUUUGUGAACCCUCCCAGCUAUGGCAUCACUGUGCAGGGCUGGCCUGUUCUCUAAGGAGGGAAGACAGCUGUGUGUUCUGCUUUCUACUUAAUCUCUGACCAAUCCCAACCACCCUGGCCCUGUGUCCUCAUUGCCUGCAACAGAAGGACCAUGCAGGGCAGAGAACAGGGCUGACACAGUCCCCACAGGAAAUGCAGCAAUUGGCCCCAAAUCAAGCUUUAAGGCCAGAGCCCACUGGCCCAGAGAAAACAUCCUUGGUGACACAGCUGUGGGGAGAGGAGAGUUGACAAGGGGCUGCCAAGAGAGG